RNAcentral lists this ribosomal RNA (504 nucleotides) under uncultured bacterium. Its description in RNAcentral is "partial 16S ribosomal RNA". It matches the Rfam family "Bacterial small subunit ribosomal RNA", at positions 28 to 523 of the family's 1533-position model. The record is from RNAcentral.
GAUAAACGCUAGCGGCAGGCUUAACACAUGCAAGUCGAGGGGCAGCAUAGAUUGUAGCAAUACAAUUGGUGGCGACCGGCGCACGGGUGCGUAACGCGCAUGCAACCUACCCGUCACAGGGGGAUAAUCCGGAGAAAUCUGGUCUAAUACCCCAUAACAUAUGGAUCGGCAUCGGUUCAUGUUGAAAUUUUCGGAGGUGACGGAUGGGCAUGCGUAGCAUUAGCUUGUUGGUGAGGUAACGGCUCACCAAGGCGACGAUGCUUAGGGGGACUGAGAGGUUUUCCCCCCACACUGGUACUGAGACACGGACCAGACUCCUACGGGAGGCAGCAGUGGGGAAUAUUGGUCAAUGGGCGCAAGCCUGAACCAGCCAUGCCGCGUGCAGGAUGACGGCUCUAUGAGUUGUAAACUGCUUUUGUACGAGGGUAAAGUGGGUUACGUGUAACCUUUUGAAAGUAUCGUACGAAUAAGGAUCGGCUAACUCCGUGCCAGCCGCCGCUGUAA